RNAcentral lists this unclassified non-coding RNA (170 nucleotides) under Albifimbria verrucaria. RNAcentral describes it as "partial internal transcribed spacer 2". Lineage: Eukaryota; Fungi; Ascomycota; Sordariomycetes; Hypocreales; Stachybotryaceae. The record is from RNAcentral.
CAACCCUCAGGCCCCCAGUGCCUGGCGUUGGGGAUCGGCACAACCGCCCUCCGGGGCGGCGCCGGCCCCGAAAUCUAGUGGCGGUCUCGCUGUAGUCCUCCUCUGCGUAGUAGCACAACCUCGCACUGGAACGCGGCGGCGACCAUGCCGUGAAACACCCCACUUCUGAA